RNAcentral lists this ribosomal RNA (405 nucleotides) under uncultured bacterium. Its description in RNAcentral is "partial 16S ribosomal RNA". It matches the Rfam family "Bacterial small subunit ribosomal RNA", at positions 28 to 526 of the family's 1533-position model. The record is from RNAcentral.
GACGAACGCUGGCGGCGUGCUUAACACAUGCAAGUCGAGCGGAGCGGCGAACGGGUGAGUAACGCGUGAGUAACUGCCCCCCUCUCUGGGAUAACAGUUGGAAACGGCUGCUAAUACCGGAUAGUGGGGGAUGACUCGCGUCCUAUCAGCUUGUUGGUGGGGUAGGGGCCUACGAAGGCGACGACGGGUAGCCGGCCUGAGAGGGGGACCGGCCACAGUGGGCUGAGAGACGGCCCAAACUACAACGGGAGGCAGCAGGGGGGAAUAUUGCACAAGGGGGGAAACGAUGAUGGAGCAACGCCGGGUGCGGGAGGACGGCCUUCGGGUUGGAAACCGCUUGCAGCCAUGACGCGGUAGUGGCAGAAGAAGCACCGGCUAACUACGUGCCAGCAGCCGCGGUAAUUC